Molecule: ribosomal RNA, 497 nt
Filed under: uncultured bacterium
Lineage: Bacteria
Description: partial 16S ribosomal RNA
Rfam family: Bacterial small subunit ribosomal RNA
Source: RNAcentral
GAUGAACGCCGGCGGCGUGCCUAAUACAUGCAAGUCGAGCGAACAGACGAGGAGCUUGCUCCUCUGACGUUAGCGGCGGACGGGUGAGUAACACGUGGAUAACCUACCUAUAAGACUGGGAUAACUUCGGGAAACCGGAGCUAAUACCGGAUAACAUGUUGAACCGCAUGGUUCAACAGUGAAAGACGGUUUUGCUGUCACUUAUAGAUGGAUCCGCGCCGCAUUAGCUAGUUGGUAAGGUAACGGCUUACCAAGGCAACGAUGCGUAGCCGACCUGAGAGGGUGAUCGGCCACACUGGAACUGAGACACGGUCCAGACUCCUACGGGAGGCAGCAGUAGGGAAUCUUCCGCAAUGGGCGAAAGCCUGACGGAGCAACGCCGCGUGAGUGAAGAAGGUCUUCGGAUCGUAAAACUCUGUUAUUAGGGAAGAACAAAUGUGUAAGUAACUAUGCACGUCUUGACGGUACCUAAUCAGAAAGCCACGGCUAACUACGUG